GUGAUGAGCAUAGCCAAAUUGGACAGGAAGAUGCACGCACCAAUCUUGGGCAGCCCAUUUGGAGCUCCUGGUGGUACUGCUGUAGCUCCACCACCUGGAACUGGGGGACUUGCUGUAUGAGAGGGCAAGGGUCCCUCCACAACAUCAGGUGCAGUUAACACUGGGUUUGGAGGCUCAGCUGGGGGCAAGGCAAAAGGUGGGAUUAGCGGCAUGAGACCGCCAGGCUGAGCAGGGCUCAUGUAAUGAGGUAAAACAUUAUAGCCCAAGCAUCGGUUCCCUGCAAUAAAAUGGAGCAAUGUGUUACUAAAUGGCAAACAGAUAUCACUUCAUGUCUGGUGGAUAAAUUUAUUAUGGAAUUUCCCUCAAAUCUGAAAUGAGACUAACACAAAUAAUGGCAGUUAAAUAUACUCUCAAGUCAUAUUGUAUGAUCCUAACCUGAUUUCUACACAUAACAUGUAAUAUGCGAACCUAUUUUUCUCAGCCUAGUACAGUAUGAAAUUAAACUGACAUUUUCAUGAGAACAAGAUCAUCUAAGGAAUAAUUUUUCCAGAACAUACAACUUCGUCCAGGAUUCACUCUGUAUUGUUGCAUAUAAACUAGAAACAUCAGUGACUUACUCUUGUAUCUGGCAGAAGUCAGAGGGAAUUCUGUGAUAACACCGCUGAUGUUGACUCCCAUGACGUAGGAGUUAAUUUCAACUGUUGAAUCUGAGAAGAAGUCCCAUGCCUGAGAUACAAACUCAUUGCUGAAAGUUUCCACAUAAACUGAGAGCCCAUGCGAUUGCAGCUUUGGCACAACAUUUGUAACACCACUGAGGAAUGAAGAACUUUCAGGAAAGACAGAAGCCUUGCUGAUGACCACAGAAUUAGCAAAGUCUUUGAUGUCCUUCAGUGCUGCAUCUUGAGCAUCUUGAAUAUCCUCUUCAAUCCGGUACACAAGCUCAUAAUUGCUUUCGUCCCUAAAUUUCAUUAGAACUGAGCUGUUGGUGGACUCAAUCAUAACUUUCUUGGAAGUUGGAUCAUCAUAACCAGCUAAGCUCAAGACUUCAAGUACUUUGUCAGUAAUGGGUAAUCCCUCUUUCUCUAUAAGAUAGGCUGCGUUCUGAAAUGAACAGAACAGACAACAAACAUCAGUCAGGGUGGGAACAACCUUCAUUUUUUCUACUGAGCUGCAUGAAAUGUGGACAAAAAUAAUAAUCACAUAUUCUUCUUUUUUUUUGGCUGCUGUUGAAGACCUUAUUCUAUUAUUCUAUGAGAGAAAUCCCCAGGCGUGCAAUUAUAGCUCAAAGGUCUGUACUAAGCAUGUGAGCUGCUCAUGAGACUAGAAGCAUGGCAGGAAGUUACGCCAAAGGAUGCGGUUAAUACAACCACAGGAACCAUUGUCAUCUUUAUUGCUACAAAAGAAAUGAAAAUGCAGAUCGCUAGCAGAUGAGAUAUCUGAAAUGAGCAACCACUGAAUAUGAUGGUCCAUUAAGUUCCAUCAACCAUGGAAACUAAUACCAUGUGUGAAAUGGUUUCCAAGUUGGGGAAGAAAAAUAAAAGAGAUAAUAUGUUCCACUAACAGAACUAACCAAUUAAGCACUGCUUUUGUUUUACUAAUAAGGUGUAGUGUGAUGAUAAAUUUGAUUUUGAUAACAUGCUUUCCAUCCAACAGGAAAAAUGUAAAAUUUCCACAAACAAUCAAAGGAAUAUCAAGUGCAAGCAGUUUAUGCAAGUUCAGAGUAAAAAUGCAGCAAAUGCUAUAGCAGGAAUCAGAUGAUUCAAACAAAGGAUCAUGUACGAGUAAUGUGAGCUUAGCAAAAACCCACCUCAAUGCUAAUCAAGACACCAGAAAGCGAGCUAGUGUUCUUUGCCAAUGCUAAGAAAUCAGACAAUGUUAGAAACUUCCCUAAAUUUUUGAAUUUGGGAUUCCGUAACAAUUCAUAUUUUGAAUAUGGAUUGGAAAUCACCGCUACAAUGAAAAAAGAAAAAGAUCAAUACAAUAUCAUUUUCUUCAAUGAAAACAUUUGGACAAUCAUACAUCCACAAAGAAACAACAUAUGGAAUUCAAACAACAACAACUAGAUUACAAAGCAGAAUUUAGAGUUGGGCAGGAGUCAAAAAAGAGAGCAGAGGAAUAUUUCUGUUCCUUUUCUCACAAAAUUCUACCUUUUAAAAUGUAAAGAGAGCAAAAUCAAAAGAAUGGUGCCAGGCAAAGGACAUUUGCGUUUAGUAUUGUUCCAAGAAUUGUAAUCUCUGUAAUUCUUUUCAUGUAUUUAUUCUCAAAUCUCAAGUGGUGGGAAUAGCUGGUUAUGAGAUCUUGUCUUGUGACUCCCACGACCAAGACAUUAUUUCCUUUGAGCCCUAGAUGGAUGUGUUUUUUUGGCUGGCCACUCUUUAUUUCUCUUCCUCAAUGUCCUAAAUUAUUUUAACUUUGCGAUCCAGUACUGAGCAUUCUAUUUUAACAGAAUGUGAGGAUUGAGUAAUGCCCCUCCACGUAAUUGUUUGUUCAUAGGCCAAGAUUUUUUCCCCCACUAAAAGGAAAAAAAAUUUAUAAAAAAAAUCAUGUUUUAUUGGGAAGGGGGUGCAACAGAAGAUUGAAAAAGCAAAAGAAGUAAAAGCCAACCAGUUUGAACUUACGAGUUAAGUUCUGAAUCUCACUCCAUGUUAAGCUAAAGGUGAAUAUCCCACUGCCUGCCUUAAUCUGUGGAAUAUUCUGUUCACGAUUGCUGUAAAUUGAUUGGGCAACUGUUGUACUGUCAUAAAGAUUUAUAGAGCCUAAGCAAAAUGGUAUCCCGUCUUUUGAUAUUUGAACAGGACAAUCAAUAACAUCAGCACCAUCUAAAAUAGCUUUCUGGUAAGCCAAAUCAGUGCAACCAGGGUAGUCUCCACUUGCACCAUUUUUUGAGAUGACCGAAAGGUUCACUGAACCAUGAGAAAAGGAGGACAGAAGAGCUAAGUACUAAUGUUCAAAAAAUGCAAUAUCCUUUGAAGUUAAAUCUCAUAUAAAAAGAAUCAGAAAAUAAUUUUGCACCUUGAGGUGUAGCAUUCUUGCCCAGACCAGAAAAACAAUCUGCAAUACAGAAGGAGAAAUCAGAAUCUCAAAAUAUUUAUUCUCCGGAUUAGGAGAAAUAUCCAGACAGAACUUAAGCAUUAUAAUCUUUAACUCCAACCGAAAGAUUACAGCUAGGAUAAGAAGAGAAAUUGUCUCAAUGGUUCUAUGAGUCAAUGAUAACAGCAGUCACAGUACUAAACCUUUUAAGUUCGACCAAAAUUUGAAUCAUGCAGUGAUAAGGAAUAAAGUAUCAAGCAUGUUCUGACAUGAGAAGCUAGAAGUAGCAACAGUUGAAAGUUAAAUGAUGGUAGGCAGGCUAACAACUGUUCCCAUAAAGAAAUUACUGCUAAAUGUCCAGUUAUUUAAGUUGAAAAACACUAGAUUGAACCAAUAGUUCACGGUUUGUUCAGAUCCAUGAUGCUUAAAGAGAAGGAUUACAGCUUACCAAUAGUCGCAGAAGGAGUUACUGGAAAGUCAGAGAGCACGCCAUCAACAGAGAAUUCACCAUUGUCAACAAAUCUGAGAUACUCAGUUACAGGAUCAUAACUGUAAUUGUAACUUAGUGGAACGUCAUUAUAAAAUUCUGAUACAAAAACCUCUAGCCCUGCCUUGUGUGCAUCCGAGACGAUAGAAGUAUGAGGUUGUAAGUAAUUACUUGCAUCUAAAGGCCAUAUGUAUGACUUAGGGAUAAGAAUUCCAGAUGCAAAUGUCUUGAUGAAAGUAAAGUUCUUUGAGAGAGAACCAUAUGUCUCAUUUGUUGAUGGCUCGAUGACAUUUGAUUCCAGAAACCGGAAGACCAGUUUUGUUAUAUUUAGGUUAAAUCUCUUAACAAUACUUCUCAAGAAACCCGCUUCUGGUGAUGAGAGAUGAUUAAUGACAACCCUUCUGUAUAGAGACAGUACAUAGCUUCUCAUACUCAAAUUGUGCUGUGUGAAGAAUGCAUCAUGCUGCAAAAGUAUCAGAACAAAAAGAUUUGGUUGAAAUAAUAGAUGGUAGUGCACGUUCCACUGAAUUAAAGGGAAGGGAAGAACAGAAACAACAGUAAAGAAGGCUUCAUGUUAAUAAGUUCAUAGAAGGUACUGGUGUAAGAUAAAACAGAAAUUAUAUUGCUUCUCUACCUGAAUAUUCAACCAUAAGCCUGGUGGUUUUAAGGUAGCCACAUCCUCAACAGUUUGGAUGGGAUAAAUGUAAUCAAACCUUUCACUCCGAGAAAAGAUUCCCUGAUUCACUGUCAAGGAAAAACAAUGUCAGAAUCAGAAGUUCAAGGCAGGAAUUGAGAAGUUAAGAAACAGUUGAUCCACACAGACUGGUAUGCUAAGAAAAUUUUCAUAGUCAAUCUCAUGAAGAUCAAUUUAGAUAAAAUCUCCUUCAGAGACUAAUGAGCAGGUCCCUAUCAGUAAAAUCUGAAGAUCAACAAUGGGAUAUCCAAAUCCAAAAACAAAACAACCCCCCAUUGGUUUUUUCUUCAAAUAUUUGAUUGAAGUAUCCUAUCUGCAAUAAAACUCUCAGUGUCUCUAAAUGACCUGAUGUUAUUAACUGUCUUUCAUGCUUGACCAUUACUAUCACUUAUACAUCAAGCAAACUUCACAAACAGAAGGACUAUAACAACAACAAUAAAUAAUAAGAAUGGAGAAUAAACAGCUUGUACUUUUGUGUUAUUCUUAUGCAAAUAAAAGGGGUAAGGUCUUGAGUUUGACUCCCGCCUUUGUCAAUUCAUUGCUAAUUUCAACAAAAAAUGAAAAGAAGGAAAUGGCAGCUGAUUCACUUGAUUCAUGCAAAUUUUUAGCAAUCAACAAUAAGAAAAUCUGGAUAUUUCAAAUGAUCACUUCAUGUAAUAAUAAUACUUUACAAGAAGUAUAGAAAUAAACAGGCUACCAAAAAAUGACCAAUAACCAUAUGAAGCAAGUUGUUGAAGUCUUAGCCAAACUCACAGGAUACAAGUGACAAUUCAUUGAGAGUGAAAUCCACUGUGAACCAUCCUCGGGUAGGAAUUCCAUUAACUAGGUACAACUUAUCCUUAUUUUGCAUAACUUGUGCAAUGCUAGUAGAAUUGUCAAGCCUGAGAUCAGGGGCACAAAUCCCCACACUAUCUUUAGUUAACUGCACAUCACACCAUAGGACAACACCCGGCAAACUUGUAAGUGUUGCAAACUGGAAAGCAUCUGAGCUAGAAUCAGGAAAUAAUCCUGAAAACCCGCCACGUGCUAUGACUAAAGGGGGAUUUCCUGCAGAAUGAAAUUAAUUAGUGAGCUUUUUUCAUUAUAAGGUCGAUUGACUCUACUCAAAUGUGUUAUAGGGUCAUAUUUUUAUCCAUGCAAAUUUACUGCAACACAGAUUGCAAGUUCACUAACCAAAAAUUGUUAUUGCAACACAAAUUACAUCAAAUUAUUUUGUGAGCAUAUAAGAAUUAGUUAAGUUGCAAGUUCAACAUUUUUUGGGUAUUCAUAAUAGAAAUAUUUUGGAAAGCACCAAGAAUCUUAUGAGUAGCCAUUUUUCUUGAAAGAAUUUUAUUGACCAACAUUCUUUUUUGUCAAUUUUCUCAACAAACUCAGAUUUAUAGAAACCUCCGGUUUUUGGAAAGCCAGGUUCAAGCAAAUUAACUAUCACAUAAAACAAUUGACUUAUCAGAACUUAGAGUGUGGGGAAAUGUAAAAAGAAAAAUGAAAAACCACCCACAACACCAAUAUCCAAAAGCCUGUAAUUCAUGAAAAAGAAAUGCAUGCACUUUUUUUUUUGUGUAUAAUGAACUGAACUGGUAGGAAUUUCAUAUAAAUUGAAGGUUUUCCAUAAAUGACAUGAUGUGAUUUCUCCAAGAAAAGAAAGAAAUUCAAGAAUUCAUUUUGCAUAAGCCCAUGAUGAGAUCAAAAUCAGCUUUCGAAAAAGAAAUCAAUUUUAAUCUUUGAAUUUAAAGUAAUCUUCAAGGCCCAAUACAAACAAGUUAUCUUAUUCUAGAAAUAGUAACCAUGUUGUUCCUUGCUAUUUUCUUAACUAAAGCUUAUUUAAAACGGUGUUUAACGAUCUAAGAUACCAUAAAUAAAAUUAUCACAAAUUCUACUAAUUACUCAUUUAUCAUAAAUCAAAUGUAAAAAAAAAAAAAAAGUAAAAUAUUGCAUCUCUUAUAUAUUUUCAAUAUUUAUUUAAGGCCAAAUCUUCAAAGACGGAAAGCAAACUCCCUACAAAUGCAACUAGCUCCUAAGCUGUAAUUCUAAAAUAGAAAAUCGAGCAUCACAUGCAUUUUCCUAGCAAACAAACACAAAAUCUAGAGGGAGAGAGAAAUCUGAGUGCGUGGUAGUGAGAGAAAAGCAAAGACAGACCGGUGAGUGUUUGCCAGGUAGUAGCAGAUCCCUGAGCAGAGACAACAACCACCAAUGACUGAAGUAGUAGUACAGCUAGUAGAGGAGUGAAGAACGAGCGUAAGUUACACAUUGCCGGAAAAUCUAGCCGGCGACUUGUUGGAGGAGCUUAAGCAAAACUCCGGCCAAUAUAUAUAUAUAUAGACAGAGACACCGACCAUUAAUCUUACUAAAACAAAUAUAUCAGAUAAUAUGUGGUAAAUUAACAAUUGAGUUGGACUAGAGAUCCCUAUCUGCCCACUCAGUGAUGGAAUCGGGAUGGCUCGAGCCACUGAGUAAAAGGUGACAAGUGCUGGUUGGAAGACAGCUAGAAUGGCGUCCACACCAUGAGCACAAACAAUCCGGCAACAGUCCACUUGUCAUGAUAUGAUUGGUUCUCCUAUUUUAGGAGAAGGUGACUUGUCAGCACGCAACGAGAAAACAAGAAGACAUCCACAAACGACAGAAGAUAUUGGAAAAAGAUGAUGGUGAACCAAUUGGCAACAAUAGUUUACAUUUAGGAGUCAAUAAAUAGACUUAUCAUUUUGACAUGACUAUUUUAAUAAUGACCCGUUGUUUUUUUAUAAUAAUUAUAUAUUUAUUUACUAAUUCUUUGUUUUAUAUAUAUUGUGGUUUUCUUGGGUUUUUAAUGGAAUAUAUAUAUAUAUAUAUAUAUAUAUAAACUAAACCUAGAGAUCUUUUCAUUAUACACGCAUGCAUUGUGCAUCCUUUUACAAAUUAUUAUUAAUUAAAUAAGUGAUCUUGUUUUUUUCAUUUUAAUCUCUAAUUUGUUUUUUUUGUACUGAAUCUUUUUCUAGCAAAGUUGAUAGUCAAUUGUUUCAAAAUGGUUAACAAAAGGCAAAAUUAAAGGAUAAAAGACUAAAGGGAAAAUAAAUGUUGUUUCUAUUGAUCUUUAAGUAAUACAUUUAUGAUUUUAUAUAUGUUUUGCCGAUAAUAAUAAUAUCAAAAUUAUACUAAUAAUAUGCUUGGUUGAGAAUAACUUUAAACUUGUUUUAUAUGAAGAAUAUCAACAAGCAUGGAUCAUGUCCAAGAAGAAAGCAAAACGAAGUAUUUAUUUUAGUGCUCAUGAUGUAAUCAUAUUAUUCGAUAGUUUCACCUACAUUUAACUAGUGUUUUGCCUAUGUUUUAUGUAUAAAAUGCCUUGAUAUUCUUUGUUUUAUGUUUUGAAGGCACCUUUAGAUGAAAGAUGCAAAAAGGAGUAAAUUGGAGGUAAUUGACAGAUUUGACCCUCAGUCGAUGUUUUGUGCAGAGCGUGAGUUCUAGAAGUCGAAAUGAAGUGAUUCUAGUGGCAUUAGAAAGAUAACAUCCAUACCUUUCUGGAAAUAUAAGUCAAGAAAAAUAAAAAUACAAAGAGCAUGGAAAUCACAUCCUUCAAAGUCAAAACUCGCAUUCUGCCAGUGUUGACCUUUGUCCAUUAAAAAUUCAAUAUCUGGAGCUACAGACAUCCAAUUGAUGCAAACUCAAUUGUGUUGGAUUCCUGACUCAAAUUCGUACAAACGCUCCAAAUUUCAGCCAAAAAAAAUGUCAUAUGAGGGAGAUAUGAUUUUUCAAAGAUGACAAUUGAAUUCUGCCAGCAAACAGGUUUCAUGAAGAAACGAAUCCAAAUUACAUCCCGAAGCAUCCAAACCGACAUCCAAGUUUUAAUUUCAGCAAUUUAGCUCCUCUAGUAAAUCAAUCCAGAAGGUCAAGGAAGGCAGCCACCAACCUCAAGCCACCAACCUCAAAUCACCAACCACAAACCAGCUGCCAACCACCAGCCACCAGCCGUCAGCCGCCUUCACACUACCACCAUCUAUCGAUGUUCACACUUGAACUUUGAUUCUUCUUACUUACAUUUUGUGUAUAAAUAGGCAGCUAAGUUUAUGCUAUGAAGAGAGCCAAUAGGGAAGGAAAGAGAGCCAAGAGAGGGAGAGGGAGUGCAGUGGAAUAAAAGAAAGAGGGGUGGCAGCCAUAAGAGAAGAAACACAAACUCUCCCCUCUACAAAUCAGAAAUCAUGUAUUCUUUCAUCUUUAGGAGUAGUUGUUCAAUAGAUAUGCAAGGCUAAGCUCGUUUUCUUGGUUGCAAGGACGCAAACACCUUCAGAUUUCAAGAACAAUGAGAUUUAUUCUUCCAUUUAUUUUCAGUUUGUAUUAUGAAUGAGUAUGUUUGUUUUCCUAUGCAUAUUUCCUGUGAUUGUUUAUCUUAAUUGCUAGAGCGGACUCUAAGUUAUUAUUGUGAACAAUUUAUUGCUAAGUUUGAUAUCAAAACCGGAGUUGUGGUAUAUAAACUUGUGAAGCAACUAAGCUUGAUAAUUGUAGCGGAACUACGUUAUUAAACUUAGGGAGAACAUUCGAUCAAAUGCAACACAAACUGACAACUUGGUUGUUAAGAUUAAUGACUUUAUCUAGAUCUUAAGGCUGCCAUUGGAUUAAAUCAUUAGUGCGGACACUGUGAUUGUUUGUUGGUUAGGGUUAAUUAUACAGCGGAUCUGUUAAUUAACCAACGUUAAGAAAAGAUAAAAAUUCAGAAUAUAAACUGGAGUUUCGUUUCAAGGAUCGGUUGUGAUUUCUGUUGGUGGAUGUGUGCUUGCGACCAAGGUUUGUUUUCUUGAUAUAUUUCAGUUUCAAUUGAUUUUGUUUAUUAGUGUAAUUUCUACCAUAGUUUAGAUCAUUGUAAAUCAAACCCCCCCAAUUACAUAACGUAUAGCAUAAAAAUCUGAACUAAACCUUCCUCGUGGGAUCGACCCCUUGCUUGCUCUAUACUAUCUUGUGUGUUUUAAGUUAGGGUAAUUAAUUUGUGCGACCGCGACAUCGCAACAGCUCAUGUGUAAAUCUUUAAAUACUACUUGAAAGCAGUAAUUAAAAUGAAUUCACACAUUUCACUUCACAUAUAUUUUAAAAGGAUUGAUAAAGCGGUUCUAAGAAUUCAUCAAGUUUAAAACUAUCAAAACUAGAAUUAUACAUGAACCAGUUGAUCAUUUGAUGAUACCAAAUGAACCGGUCGACUGCUUGCUCAUCAGGGAUGAACACCUAGAAAUUUAUAGAAACUGGUCGAUCGCUUCAGCCGUCAGUGGGUCUAACGACUGGUUUCUUUUAGAAACUUAUAAAUAGCUCUCAUUCUUGCAAAACUGUAAGAGAAUUCCGAACAUACAAUAUAUAGAGACUAUUUCAAAAGCAAAACUAGCUAGAAAUCAUCAAUCCUAACAUACUAUAAUGUUAUGCUAAAUUCAACCUUCAUAUUCUAGCACAAGAGUAUAAAUUCUCACACUCACUAUACUUAAACACUUUCAUACUUUCUAAGUGUUAUUUAGUGAGUUAUAGACAUCAUAGUUUUCAAUUGUAUUAUCUACUCUUUAAAAGAGUGUUGUCACAUUUCAAACAAUUGUAAACCUUCAAAAGUAUAGGUGAAAAACUCUUGGUCAUUGGUGAGGUGCAUCUACAAGGUAAAAAAUCUGAAGUUGAUAUUUCUUCAAGUGGUGAAUAAAGGGCUCAACAAGGAUUCAUCAAGGACAUUGUAAUCUCUAACUUGGAUUAGUAAAGAAUAUAGAGUCUAUAAUAAUAUAACACUGUGUCUUGAAGAAUUCAUGUAUGUUGUCUUCAAGGAAACUCAAAAUGAUAAAAUUGUUGAGAUUCUUUAUCACAUUAAUGAAUGUGGUCAACAUUUGAGUCUUAAUGAUAAGACCCCCAUGGAGGCUAACAAUAAAAAAAUAAACAAAGACCAACCAAGCACAAGUAAUCAAUAAGAGAUGGUAAGUAACUCUUUUAUUCCACCAAAAGAGUUAAGGUACAUAAUCUCUUACCUUUUUGAGUUAAUUAUUGACAACCAUUUUGAAGAACAAAGGCUAUAACUUCAUUUACAAAUAUAAAUGGUCAUUUUGUUUUUGUUUCAUAUAUAAAACCUAAAUCAUUUCUUGAAACUGAAAAUGAUGAUAAUUGAAUUUUAGCCAUGCAAGAUGAGUUAAACCAAUUCAAAAGAAAAUUAUGUAUGAGAACUAGUCCUUAGACAUAACAACCAAUUAAUUAUUGGAACUAAAUGGGUUUUUAGGAACAAAGUUGAUGAGCAUGAGACCAUUGUUAGAAAUAAAGCUAGACUAGUUGUCAAAAGUUAUAAUCAAGAAGAAGAUAUUGAUUAUAAAGAAACCUUUACACUGAUGGCUCGAUUAAAAUAAAUAAGAAUGCUUUUAGCUUUUUGCAUGCCAUGCUAAUUUUACACUUUUUUAAAUGAAUGUUAAAAGUGCAUUUUCAAAUGGUCUUAUUAUGGAAGAAGUGUAUGUUAAGCAACCUCAAGGUUUUAAAAACUUUCAUUUUCCCGAUCAUGUUUUCAAACUCAAAUAGGCUUUAUAUGGUUUAAAACAAGCAACAUGAGCAUGGUAUGAUAAAUUAAAAUCUUUUCUUAUUGAUAAUAGUUUUAACAUUGGUAAAAUUAACAUCACCCUCUUCACAAAGAGAAAAAGGUAAAGAUAUCUUGUUUGUGUAAAUAUAUGUUGAUGUUACUAUAUUCGAUGCUACUAAGGAAUCUCUUUGUAAGGAAUUUGCAGGAUGUAUGCAAGAUGAAUUUGAAAUGAGCAUGAUGGGAGAAUUAAAUGUUUUUCCUUAAAUUGCAAAUCAAACAAGCAAAGAAUGACAUCUUCAUCAACCGAAGCAAGUGUAUCAAAGAUCUACUAAAAGAUUUGGGAUGAAACAUGUCAAAGAAGUUGACACACCUAUAAGAACAUCAACCAAGCUUGAUAUGGAUGAAAAUGAUAAGAAUAUAGACAUCACCAAAUAUUUAGGUAUAAUCGGUUUAUUCUUAUAUUUAACUCCAAGUAUACUCGAUAUUAUGUUUUGUGUAUGUCUAUGUGGAAAUUUUCAAACAUGUCCUAAAGAAUUCCAUGUUAGUGCUAUAAAAUGAAUUUCUUUGAUAUUUGCAUGUACAAUUGAUUUAGGGUUGUGGUAUUCGAAAGGAAACGAGUUGAAUUUGAAUCGGUAUUCAGAUGUUGGAUUUAUUGGGUGUAAAGUUGAUAAAAAUAGUACUAAUGAAACUUGUUAUUUUAGGAUCAUCACUAGUAUCUUGGGCUAGUAAAAAACAAAACUCAAUAGCCCUAUCAACAACUGAAGUCGAAUAUAUUAUAGCGGGUAGUUGUUGUGCAUAAAGUUUAUGGAUAAAACAAACCUUAAAAGACUCUGGUCUUAAUUUUGAUAAUAUAUUGUUGGUUAAUUGUGUUUAAUUGUUUAUUUAAAUUAAUCACAAUAUUUGUAAAUAUUAGUUGAACACCUAAUUCAACUCUUUUAGGUGUUAUUAUUGCCUUAAUCUUAGAACAACAAUUUCCAAAAAUAUACGUUACUCCUCCUAUUUUUCACUUUAUCACUUUUUAGCCCUUUUAGUUUUUUAAAAUGCAUUUUAGUCCAAAAUUUUAUUUUUCUUGUUUCUUAGUCUUUGUUUUAGAGUGGAGGGAUAAAUUCGUUAGAUUCCAAUGAUAGAGAGAGAAAAUAUUUGUUGACAUCAAUUUAGAUCACUAAAAAAGUCAAUUUUGAUGUUAAUGGGUUCCAAUCGAUGAGAUGAGUUGUAAUGGGGUGUUAUUUGGCCUUCCUAUUGCUUGAGAUGAUAUAUUUGAGCUCAACAAGGUUUUUGAAUUCUGGUUGAUUUUAGGUUUAUGGACAUGUUUUUAGGUUAUUUGAUCCCAUAAACAAGCUUAACAAGGUCUUUAGGGUAUUUUCUAAGUGUUUUAGGUCACAAAUAGGUUGAAAAAAUAAAUUUUAUGAAAAAAAUACUACUACCCUAAUUUUUCAGCGACUCUCUAUUCGUUGGAUUCUGGAGACGUAGAUGACAUGUCUUUUGCCUCGUUUUAUUUUUUAAAUAGUGAGCAGACGAUGUGUUGUCCACCCUCUAUUAUUAGAAAAAAAAAAAAAGGCUCAACGUGCCAGCCAUGCCUAUGUUUAUGGGCCAGAUGUGUGGCUUGGCCUGCGCACUUGGCUGAAUUGAUAUUUUUUAAAAUGAUAUUUUUUUUAAUGCUUUUUUAGCUCUUUAAAAUUAAAAAAAAAUUUCGUCCUUCGUCAUUUAAGUUUCUCUUUUUGUUAUUUUCAUUAAAAAAAAAAAACCUUUUUGUUUAUCCAACUUUAAAAAAGGCUAUUUUUUCUUUUUUUAGCCCCACACUUCGUGUGACUAAAUAAAGAAUAAUUUAAGAGAUAGAAAGUUAUUAAAUUCAAUAUGAUACAUGACCCAAAUCAUGAGUUUAAUAGGUUGAUUUAAAUUUACUUGGGUCUUUUUUUUUGUCUUUUUUGAAUUGAAUAUUUUUAAUUUUUAAUUUAGUCUUUCAACAUUCAGUUCCUUGGGUAUUGAGCCUUGUUAUUUGUUUUGAUUUGCUUUAGAUGGAUUAUCAUGGUCUUAUGAUUUAGGUUGCAAAUUGAGCUGGUUAAUCUUGAUUAACUCAGGUCGAUCUAAUAUGUUGUUGUUACAAUAUUUGAGAAAAUAAUUAUUCAAUAUAUCAUCAUCUCAAUAUUAAAAAAAUAUAUCAUAAAAUAUGUGUUGGAUUUUGUAUUCAUGAUUAAUUCUUUUUCAGAAAACACAUCAUCAAUCCCUAAAGGUUUUUUUUUUUUUUUUUGCAUUAGAAAAAAAGAUUUAUGGAAAAGUGUGUUUUUAAAAUCUUUCAGUUCAAAAAUAUUGUUAUUGUUAAAUAAAAAUAAUAAUUUCUUUCCCCUCAAGAUUGUGUCGCUCAUCCAAAAUGAUUAAUAUAAUCAUAAUAUUUUUUUAUUUUUAAAAAAUAUUAAAUUGAUAAUAAUUUUAAUGAUUUUAAUAAAAAAAUAAAAAGUUAUUUUAAAGUGUUUUUACAUAUUAAUAAACAUUUUAUACACAAUUAUUAUGCUGCCAUCAACAUUUACAUUAAAAAAUAUAUAACUCUCUUUCACUAUAGUCAAAUAACCCUCGAAGGUUUAUCCUUUUAAUAAAUUAUUGUAUUUGGUAUUAGUUCAUCUUAAAAAAAAUUAUAUGUUUUUUAUACAUAUCAUCAACAAGUUUGGUUAUUUUCUAUUUCCAUAGCCGAUUUUAUCUUAUGACAAUAUUAUAAAGAGAGGUUUAUCAGCUUUUAUUGCAAACUAAAUUCUCUUCUUCUUCUUUUUUUCUAUUGAUACUCAUCUAAAUUUUAGGCUAACAUAUGAAUUUUAAAACGUUUAUUUUUAUUUUAAAUAUAAACAAAAAUAAUGCUAUAUAAUUGAUUAAUUUUUAGAAUUAGAAAAACUAUUUAAUUUAUUAUUAAAAUAAAAACCAAGAGACUAAUUUAUAAUUUAUUGUGUUAUUGAGUUUAUUUGUCUAAAAAUAUGCAAUGUGUAUUUAUGAUAUGUUAAACCGUUUAUUAUUGUGGUAAUUUUUAUUUUUUUAUUUAAUUAUAAAGAAAUUUUUUUUUGAUUAGUCAAAUAAUUUAUAUUUUUAAAUUGAACCCCACAUAUAAUUACAUUUCAAACAUUAAUUUUAUAAAAACUAAAAUAAUUUUUUUAUCUCACAACAAUUUUAACUAAACAGUUUAUAUUUUUAAAAUUACUAAUAAAAUUACUUAUUAAAUUCUUUUUUAAAAAAACUGCAAUUGCAUAAGCUAAACACUACCUAAUCUAACUUGCGUUUUGAAUUUUGUUAUCUUGACGGUGAGAUCAGCUGGCUUAAGGUUUUUAAAUUAUUUGACUGGAUGAUGAGCUGAGAGAGGUUUCUAUUAUCAUUACUUGUUAUUUUAAUGAAAGCUUCGUGUAUUCAAUUCAUGGAAGUCUGUACAAUGACAAUAAUGCCCUGAGGUAAAAGGAUUGGUGAGGGAGUUCCAUUUGUGUUACGGUGAACCAUACUUCUAACCUUCUUUUUUUAUUUUAUUGUAUUAGUUGCGAAUAAGUUCUUUAUUAUAUUUGAUUAUAGGAGUAAUUGACUGAUUUAUUUUUAUACAUUGGAUAGUAUUCUUUGACAUGUUCAUCCUUAUAUAUUUAUUAUUUUCUCCCAUAUAUUGUUUUUUUAUUAUUAUUUGAUAAAAUACCCCUCAAAUUAUAAGAACAUUAAAAAAAAAGGGUGAAACUUAACUAUAAAAAAUUAAAGAAACUUGAAAACUUUAGGAAAAGAACUUACAAAACAUAAUAACAAUAAAAAGAAAAAAGAAAAAAAAUGAAAGUACCUAGUAAAAUCUAAAGGUUAAAAAAUUGAUCUGAUUUUGUAGGACACGAGUUCUAAACAUUUUUCAUUAGUCUCUAUGUUUUUUCUAUAUUUUUAUUAAUUAUUUUAAUUUUUUUGAAAUAUUCAAAGUUUUUGUCUUUCUGAAUUUUUUAAUUUUUUUAGUUUUUUUGUUCUUAGAUUCGGUUAAUUUUUUAAAAAAUUGUAAUUUUUUAUAUCCUUAUAAAUAUAUAAGGAUAUAUGAAUUUUAAGAAAAUUCUCACAUGGAGAAAUAUGUUCAAGGAUCGAUGAAUAUAAUGUCCUUAAAUCAUAUCUCUCUCUUUUUGAAAAUUGAAAUUCACUUGCCAAUAAUUAUUCUUCUAACUUGAAUUUUGAUUUUCAAUUAUAAAAUUUUCUUUCUUUUCUUUAUUUUUUCCUAAGAAUAUAUUUAGAAAGUUUGUUUUCGUGUUAAUAAUUUUAAUGUGUUAAUAUAUAUAUAUAUAUAUAUAUAGACAGAGACACCGACCAUUAAUCUUACUAAAACAAAUAUAUCAAAUAAUAUGUGGUAAAUUACCAAUUGAGUUGGACUAGAGAUCCCUAUCUGCCCACUUAGUGAUGGAAUCAGGAUGACUCGAGCCGCUGAGUAAAAGGUGAUGAGUGUUGGUUGGAAGACAGCUAGAAUGGCGUCGACACCAUGAGCACUAACAAUCUGGCAACAUUCCACUUGUCAUGAUAUGAUUAGGGGGCGCAUUGAGGGAAGCAAAAUGCGUGGAAUGGUUCUCUUAUUUUAAGAGAAGGUGACUUGUCAACACGCAAAGAGAAACAAUAAGACAUACUCGAAUGACAGAAGACAUUGGGAAAAGAUGAUGGUGAACCAAUUUGCAACAAUAAUUUACAUUUAGGAGUCAAUAAAUAUACUUAUCAUUUUGACAUGACUCUUUUAAUAAUGACCCAUGGUUUUUUUAUAAUAAUUAUGUCUCCAAUUUUUAAAUUUAUAUUUAUUUACUAAUUCUUUGUGUAUAUACAUAUUGUGGUUUUCUUCGGUUUUUUAUGGAAUAUAUAUAUCAACAAAAACAAAAAAAGGAACUAAGCCUAGAGGUCAUUUACUGGACACACCUGCAUUGUCCAUCUUUUUACAAAUCAUUAUUGAUUAAAAAAGUGGUCUUUUUUUUAAUUUUAAUCUCUCUUUUUUUACUGAAUCCUUUUCUAGCCAAGUCGAUGGUCAAUUAUUUCAAAAUUGUUAACAAAAACUAAAAUUAAAGGAUAAACGACCAAAGAGAAAAUAGGUGGUUGUUUCUAUUGAUCUUUAGGUAAUAUAUUUAUGAUUUUAUAUAUAUUUUGAUGAUGAUAAUAAUAUCAAAAUUAUAUUAAUAAUAUGCUUAGUUGAGAAUAAGCAUUAAACAUGUAAGAAUACAUCAACAAGCAUGGAUCAAGUCCAAGAAGGAAGCAAAAUGAAUUUUUCAUUUUAGUGCUCAUAUAUAAAUCUUUAUAUCCUACUUGAUAAUACUAACAAAAAUGAAUUCACACACUUCACUUUGCAUACAUUUUAAAAGGAUUAAUAAAACGGUUCUAAGAAUUCAUCAGGUUUAAAACUAUCAAAACUAGAAUUAUGUGUGAACUAGUUGAUCGUUUGGUGAUACCAAAUGUUAUUUAGUGAGUUAUAGACAUCAUAGUUUUCAAUUGUAUCUACUCUUUGAAAGAGUAUUGUUACAUUUCAAACAAUUGUAAACCUUCAAGAGUUUAGGAGAAAAACUAUUAGUCAUUGGUGAGAUGCAUCACCAAGGUAAAAAAUCUUGAAGUUGAGAUUUCUUCAAGUAGUGGAAAAAAAAGGGCUCAAUAAGGAUUCACCAAGGACAUUGUAAUAUCUGGCUUGGAUUAGUUAAUAAUAUAAUACUCAAGACCGGCUUGGUGCAUGAGGUGUGGAUGUGAGUUUGUUGAACCACAUUAAAAAUCGAGUUUGCAAUCUCUCUUCCUUAUCCUUUUACUUUACGCAAUUUAAUUAUAUUGUUGGUUAAUUGUGUUUAAUUGUUUUUUAAUUAAUUGCAAUAUGUGUUAAUAUUAGUGGAACAUCUAAUUCACUCAUUUAGGUGUUAUUGUUACCUUAAUCCUAUAACAAUAAUUGGCAUUAGAGUCUGGUUCUCAUUUAUAAGUUUGCUUAGACUUUGAGUAGAAUUGCAACCAUUAGUUUUAAUGUACAAAAUAAAGGAUCAUCAACCUCUAGGCCACCUUUCUUUGAUGGUAAUGACUAUGCCUAUUGGAAAGCUAUGAUGAUUCUAUAUCUUCAAUCGAUUGAUUAUUGAUUAGUACUUAAAAGUGCAUUUUUAUCAAGGUUUUAUAUCAUCAUUUUGCACUUGAAGUAUCUAUAACUCCUUAACUAAAGCAUGUUUUAUAAUAACAAGUCUGAUACCAUAAGAUACCUUUAAUUUAUGGUAAAUGUUUAUCUUAAAUGCAGGCCUAUCACAUAAAUGAAAGGAUUGAUUGAUGAGUUUAAGUACGGAAAUUGAAAGGACAAAGAGAGGGCCAAACUUAGUAAAGAGAUGUUGGUUCAGUCCAAACUGGAACACUGUUCGGUCAUCGGGUCAUAUCUGGAGCUGUAGAUCUUGGAUUUAUGUCUGCCUUAUAUGGAUGGAAAGCUAAGAAAUAGGCCUAAAACUUUCAUGGGAGUCCAAGAUUUAAAAAGGCUGUUUUCAAGUCCAAAUUGUAGCAACAAUGGAGAAGUCUGAAUCUGUCCUGCAGCCCAGACACUGUUCAAUGUUUAGCCCAUAUCUCGAGUUUUAGAACUCCAAAUGACCUCCAAUUUUUAACCUGGAAAGCUGAGACAAUUUCCUAGAACUUUCAUGAUUUAAGUCUGUUCAAAUUAUGAUGUUAUCAAUUACGUUUUUGGCAGACAAUAAGAUAAGGAUUGUCACCAAGUCAAGAUGUGGCCACCUACUCAACAAUUAGUCAACAAAUCAAUAAUUCUGAAUUUUGGCCUAUAAAAGGAGGUAUUUGCCAUGUAUUUAGGCAUCUUGGUUUUUAGAUCAAGAUCAUGCUCUUGCUCUCUCUUUAUAUUUUGUAAUGCUUAAGUUUUGCUUAUAUUAAUCUCUUACUUAUGCUUUUCAUUUCCUUUCCUUGUUUAUUUAUGUUUCUCUCUUUCAUUAUGUUUAGUUAAGUUUAUCAUGUCAAGGUGAAAAGGUUACACUAAUGGUGUAAGAAUAAGUAUAAUAUAAACUCAACAUGGACCUUAAUAUUUGAUACUAACAUGUUUUAUAUUUGUUAUCUUGUUCACUUUUAAUACUUUGCUUGUUAAAUGGUUAAUCUAGAUUUAUGUUGUAUAACCCUUGGUAGAACAAAUACUUGGCACUUUCAUAGCCCAACCAUAUGGUAUAACCGACACCUGUGCUAUGAAAGGAAUUUGAUUUGUUGUUAACAUAAGUUAUAAUCAUGAAUGCCUGACAACAUUUACAAGUAUUAGCAUUAUUCAAAUAAGAUAACUAAUGUAAUCAUGUUAAUAAUUUAUAAUCCGAUUGGAACCUCCUUUGUGUGUGGUUUCCAGUUGAGUAAUAAAAAGAGUUUAUACUAUACUUGUUUGAAAUACCAUUAGUGGAUCCUCUAACCUUGACAAUUAUUUUAUCAUUGUUUAAUCUUUAUAUCAAUAUCACAUCUCAAAGCUCUCUUUGUUAUUAUUAUUGUUGUUGUUGUUGUUGUUGUUUAUAAUUUAUACAAUUAACCUCCUUGUGGUUCGACCCCGGUCUUGCCGGGUUAUUUAUUACUUCGACACUCCUGCACUUGGGAGAAAACAUCAAUCUUUUGGUCGUGUCAAGUUUUUGGCGCCGUUGCCGGGGAGGUAAAUUCUUGUAAAAUUAUAAUAUUUAUUUUAUUUUCUCUUUUCACCUUUCAUUUUAUCUAACUUUUGUUUUGUUUUGUUUUGUUUCCUUUUCUUUUCUUCUUUUUAUUCUCUUCCUACACGUGCACGAGAGUUUGGUCACGUACAUUAAGUGGUAGACUUUGUAGGGUAUCCUUAUCAUUUUCAGAAAAUAUGGCCGAAGAAGAUAACCAGUCGCUUCAUAACGAGAAUAAUGAGAAUAUUCGUGUUAGAACACUUAGAGACCACAUGAAUCCCACAAGAACAAGUGCACCCUCAUGCAUAGUUUUUCCUCCUGAUGCAUCUCAUUUUAAUUUUAAGCCAGGCAUUAUUCAACUUUUACCUUGUUUUCAUGGCUUAGAUUUAGAAAAUCCAUACUUGCAUUUAAGGGAAUUUGAGGAGGUCUGUAACACCUAUAAUGACUCAAAUUAUAGCAUGAACACCAUCAGGUUAAAGCUUUUUCCUUUUUCAUUAAAAGAUAAAGCUAAAACAUCUACAAAAUUUGAGACCAGGAUCUAUUUGUGCUUGGGAUGAAAUGCAACAAUAAUUUUUAAAGAAAUUUUUUCCAUCUCCCAGAACAAACUCUUUCAAAAAACAAAUCAUCACUUUCACUCAAAAACCAAGAGAAACAUUUUACCAAUGUUGGGAUAGGUAUCGAGACUUGCUUAAUACUUGCCCUCAUCAUGGUUUUGAGACAUGGAGAUUAGUUUCACAUUUUUAUGAAGGGUUAACACCUAGAGAUAGGCAAAUGGUUGAAUUGAUGUGCAAUGAAACUUUUGAGGAUAAAGACCCUAAUGAAGCAAUGGAGUACCUAGACUUGCUAGCUGAAAAUGCUCAAAAUUAGGAUACUACAGGCACUUAUGAGGCACCAAGUAAAACCCAACCUCAUACAUCUAGUGGAGGUAUGUACAACCUUAGGGAAUAUCAUGACCUCCAAGCCAAGUUUACAUCUUUAGCUAGAAAAGUUGAGGCACUAGAAUUAAAAAGGAGUGGUCAACUAAAAUCUGUUCAAGACAUUGUGUGUCAAAUCUGUGAAACUAAUGAACAUUCAACCAAUGACUGUCCAACUUUGCCUUCUUUUAAGGAAUGUCUCCAUGAACAAGCUCAUGCUUUAAACAGUUUCCAAAGGCCCAAUCAUAACCUAUACUCGCAAACAUACAACCCUGGUUGGAGAAAUCACCCAAAUUUCAAUUGGAAGAGUGAUAAUAAUAAUGCACAAACUUCACAGCCACCGUUUCAAGCACACCAUAAUUUUCAAAAUUCUCAUGGAUAUGCACCUCCUUAUGCUCCACCUCCUAGAAGAAAUCUUGAGGAAACAUUGCAUGCAUUCAUUGAAAAGCAAGAGACAAUCAACACUCAACUUGCUCAAAGCAUGACAGAUUUUAAAGAUACUCUUGCAAAAUUGACAUAUGCUCUCAGUUUUCAAGAGAAAAGUAAGUUUCCAUCUCAACCAUAACAAAAUCCAAAGGGGCAAUACAAUGUGAAUGCAAGUAGUUCUGGAAGCCAACACAUGGAUCAAGCCAAAUCAGUCAUCACUCUUCGCAGUGGUAAGGUUAUUGAAAAACCCAUUCUUGAACCUUGUGAGAAAGAUGAUGAGUCAAUCUCUGAGGGUAAGGAAGGGGUUGAAUCUGAACAUUGCAAAAAAAAGACUGAUUCCCCACCAACACUUCCAUUUCCUCAUGCCAUGACCAAACAAAGAAAAGUCAAUCACAACUCUGAAAUCUUUGAAACUUUCAAACAAGUAAGGAUCAAUAUACCUUUGUUGGAUGCUAUUAAACAAGUUCCUUCUUAUGCUAAAUUUUUUAAAGAUCUGUGCACUGUGAAGAGAAAACUGAAUGUGAAAAAGAAAGUCUUUUUAUCCGAACAAGUAAGUGCCAUUCUUCAGAACAAUAAUGCUUCGAAAUAUAAAAACCCUGGUUGUCCUACAAUUUCAUGCUUUAUUGGAGAACAUAAAAUUGAAAGAGCUUUACUUGAUCUUGGAGCUAGUGUGAAUUUACUUCCAUAUUCAGUUUUUUAAAGUCUCAAUCUAGGUGAGUUAAAACCAACUUCUGUAACUCUUUUACUUGCCGAUAGAUCUGUAAAAGUGCCUAGAGGAAUACUUGAAGAUGUGUUAGUACAAGGCGAUAAAUUCAUUUACCCUGUGGAUUUUAUUGUCUUGGAUACACAACCUGUUGAAGCAUGUAAUUCAUUUCCUGUUAUUUUAGGACGUCCGUUUCUUACAACUUCUAAUGCAUUGAUUAAUUGUAGGAAUGGACUGAUGAAGCUAUCAUUUGGAAACAUGACAUUGGAGAUGAACAUUUUCAAUAUUUGCAAGCAACCUGGAGAUGAUAAUGAUUUACAGGAAGUGGACUUUACUGAAAAAUUAGUUCAUGAUCAAUUUCAAACCACUUCUAGUGAAACUGAGAUUGAUGAAUCUGACGAUUUGCAAAUGGUUUAUUUUCAGGAAGAAUCAAAGGAAAAUAGUUGGAGACCGAAAAUUAAGGAAUUGCCACCACGAUCAAUUGAGUCCAUACCUUCAAGUGUUCAACCACCAAAACCUGAUUUGAAGCCCUUACCAUUCAAUCUCAAAUACUCAUUUUUUGGAGAAAAUGAAACUUUUCCGGUAAUAAUCUCUUCCAAACUUAAUGCACUUCAAGAAGGUAAGUUAUUACAAACUCUGAAAAUGCACAAAAAUGCAUUAGGAUGGACCAUAGCUGACAUAAAAGGAAUUAGUCCUUUGAUUUGCACACACAGGAUUUAUUUGGAGGAAAAUGCUAAACCCUCUAGAGAAAUGCAACGAAGGCUUAAUCCUAAUAUGAAAGAAGUAGUGAAAAAUAAAGUCAUUAAGCUUCUAGAUAAUGGAAUCAUUUAUCCUAUUUCUGACAGCAAAUGGGUAAGUCCUACCCAAAUUGUACCCAAGAAGUUUGGAGUCAUUGUGAUAACAAAUGAGAAAAAUGAGUUAAUUCCAACUAGGACUAUUACUGGUUGACGCAUGUGCAUUGACUAUAGGAAACUUAAUUCAAUGAUUAGAAAAGAUCAUUUUCCUUUACCUUUCAUGGAUCAAAUCCUAGAAAGAGUUGCAGGUCAUGAAUUUUAUUGUUUCCUAGAUGGUUAUUCAGGUUAUAACCAAAUUGAAAUUGCAUUGGAAGAUCAAGAGAAGACUACUUUCACAUGUCCAUUUGGUACUUUUACAUAUCGAAGGAUGCCUUUUGGAUUAUGCAAUGCACCAGUCACAUUUCAAAGAUGCAUGCUCAGUAUAUUUAGUGAUAUGGUUGAACGUUUUCUUGAAAUUUUUAUGGAUGAUUUUUCUGUUUUUGGCGAUUCAUUUGAUGAUUCUUUGACUAACUUAGAAAAGGUUUUGAGCAGGUGUGAAGAGAAGAAUCUUGUACUGAAUUGGAAAAAAUAUCACUUUAUGGUAACAAACGGCAUUGUACUUGGUCACAUUGUUUCAUCGAAAGGAAUUGAGGUUGACAAAUCUAAAAUCGAGUUAAUUGCUAACACCAAAAUCUGUUAAAGAUGUUAGAUCAUUCUUAGGACAUGCUGGUUUUUAUAGAAGGUUCAUCAAAGAUUUUAGUGUGAUAUCCAAGCCCUUGAGUAACCUUCUAACAAAGGAUAAUAUUUUUGAAUGGACUAAACAUUGUGAAGAAGCCUUUGUUAAACUGAAAAACUUGCUUACUUCUUCUCCUGUCAUUCAACCUCCUGAUUGGUCAUUACCUUUUGAAAUAAUGUGUGACGCUAGUGAUUAUGUUGUGGGUGCUGUCUUGGGACAAAGAAAAGAUAAGAAACCUUAUGUGAUUUACUAUGCAAGUAAAACUUAAAUAGUGCUCAAAUGAAUUACACCACCACUGAAAAAAGAAUUACUUGCAGUAGUAUUUGCAUGUGAAAAAUUCAGGUCUUAUCUUGUUGGCUCACCUGUUAUUGUUUUUAGUGAUUAUGCAGCAUUGAAAUAUCUUCUUUCUAAGAAAGAUUCUAAAGCUAGAUUGGUUCGGUGGAUUUUGUUACUUCAAGAAUUUGAUAUCACAAUCAAAGACAAGAAAGGCACCGAAAAUUUUGUCGCAUAUCACUUGUCAAGAUUGACAACAGAUUCGAGAUCUGACAUCACACCAAUCAAUGACUACUUUCCCGAUGAAUCUUUAUUUUUUGUCUCUACAAUGCCUUGGUAUGCUAAUAUUGUUAAUUUUCUUGUUUCAGGACAAUUGUCAGCUCAUUGGAGUACCCAAGACAAAAGAAAGUUCUUGAACGAAGUAAAGAACUUUUAUGGGGAUGACCUUUAUUUAUUCAAAUAUUGUCCUGAUCAAAUAUUUCAAAGAUGCAUUCCUGACAAUGAGGUAAGUAGUAUCAUUAAAUUUUGUCAUUUUGAGGCAUGUGGAGGUCAUUUCUCAUCAAGAAAGACCACUGCAAAAAUCUUACAAAGUGGAUUUUACUGGCCCACCAUGUUCAAGGACUCACAUGCAUUCUGCAACACUUGUGAAAAUUGUCAAAAGUUGGGAUCUAUUUCAAAACGUCACAUGAUGCCUUUAAAUCCUAUUCUUGUCAUUGAGAUCUUUGACUGUUGGGGUAUAGAUUUCAUGGGUCCAUUUCCUCCAUCAUUUGGUUUCUUGUACAUAUUAGUCGCAGUAGAUUAUGUUUCAAAAUGGAUAGAGGCAAUUCCAAGUCGAAACAAUGACCACAAAACAGUGAUAAAGUUCUUGAAAGAAAAUAUUUUGAGUCGAUUUGAAAUCCCUCGGGCCAUGAUAAGUGAUGGUGGAACACAUUUUUGCAACAAGUUAUUUGAGUCUUUAAUGAAAAAAUAUGGAAUCACACACAAAGUUGCCACCCUUUAUCACCCUCAGACAAGUGGACAAGUAGACCUUGCUAAUAGGGAGAUCAAACAGAUCUUGGAGAAAACAAUAAACCUUAAUACGAAAGACUGGUCUUUAAGACUUAAUGAUGCACUUUGGGCUUAUCGAACUGCAUAUAAAACAUCAUUAGGUAUGUCACCUUAUAGAUUAGUCUAUGGAAAACCUUGUCACUUGCCUGUGGAACUUGAACAUAAAGCUUGUUGGGCUAUUAAAGCUUUCAAUUCUAACCUUGAUGAUGCUAGUCAGCUGCAAAAAUUAUAAAUAAAUGAGCUUGAGGAAAUAAGAAAUGAUGCAUAUGAGAAUUCAAAAAUUCAUAAAGCAAGAAUCAAAGAGUUUCAUGACAAGAGAAUCUUCAGAAAAACAUUUGAUGUUGGUCAAAAAGUUUUGCUUUAUAAUUCUCGACUCCAUUUAUUUCCUAGAAAGCUAAGAUCAAGAUGGAGCGGUCCAUUUAUUGUGAAACAUGUGUAUCCAUAUGGGGCCUGUGAUAUCGAGAAUCCAAAGAAUGACAAUGUUUUCAAGGUAAAUGGACAUUGUUUGAAAGUUUGUUUUGACAAUUUUUUAGUUGAAAAUGACUCUAUUGAAUUAAGUGAUCCUGUAUAUAAAGAUUGAUUCUUUUUCUCACAUUGUUUUGUGUUUCAUUUUGGUGUGAAUUUUGUUUUGCUAGUCUCUCUCACCCCGGUCAAAUGGCGGAUAACAGUACUCCAUGACUUAAGUCGGUUCUUUCAGUUUCCCAUAAUAACUGAUAUAUGUAUAUAUUUGUGCAAUUCUUUGCUCUUUCUCCCUUCUUUGAAUAUCUUCUCCAACUCUCAUUUGAAAAUGGACACCACUCUUGAAAAAUUGAAAAAGUACUUUCCCGCUCUGCCUUAGAAUGCGAUUACAAAAAUUUACCGUGCUAGGUGUGCAAGAUUGAGGUUGUUAAUGAAUCAUGGAAUUCCUGAAGAUAUUCGUUGGCUGAUUGAAGCAAAGAUCUGAUUAUCAGGUGAGUACUCCAAUUCUUUCAUCUCAUACAUGCCUGGAACAGGUAAAAGCACUUUUGCAAAGAAACGUCGUGCAAAACGACUGAAACUCUACCACCGAUGUGCCAGAUGGACUUGUAAUGCAACAUGUCGUUCUUUAGGAAUGGUAUCUAUAAACCGUGAAGAUAAAAUACAAUUCAUUAAGGAUGGCCUGAGUAAGGGGUCUUUAGAUAAUCUUCUAUUGACUCUUGAGACGCAUCCUGGUGGAGAUGUGCAUCGUGCAAUUCAUGAUUUAUGGCCACAAUUCCAUAAAGAACAUGAUAGACUUAGUCUUGGGAAUCUAACUAUAAAAGACCCUGUUUGCCAGUUUUUAAGAAAACUGGAUGGGAAGCCUAUCCCCGACCCAUAGAGGGCGUUUAAGCUGUUCUUGGACGUAAAACCAAGGGAAGAUGUGAGCCACAAUCACAACUACCUGUACAUACACAUGCUUUUUCAAAAUAAGUAAGUAAAUAAAUAGAGAGAGUGUGUGAGACUCCAGCUAGCCUACAUAUAAGUGGUAUGAUUGUAUUUUUAAUUUCUCAUCUAUAAAAUAUUUUCUUUCUUCCCUUCAUUUCUACUUAACCCAUACAUUCAACUCUUAUUAGGAUGGCAGAGUAAGGAGGAAUUUUAUUGACUCUUGAGACGCAUCUUAGUAAAUAGUUUUAUCAAGGCCUAUCAGAAUACUUCUUGAAAUAUUCAUGUUUACAAACUCUCGCAUUGUUAUCACUUGAUUCUGCUCAUAUACUCAUUUAACAAGUAUUCUUAAACCUUUAUUUUCACACACACACUCUAACAUAUGAUUGUGGGUCACACAUUGGAUUAUUACAUUAUUUAUGUUCUUUUGUUAAAGGUAACAACUAAGGAAAAAGGGAUAGUAUAUAAUUUGAAAAAAAAAACAAAUUGAUAAUAUUGAUGAUAAUAAAAACGUAGAUAAGUUUGGUUUCGUAGCCUCCCUAACCUAAGCAAUUAAGCCCGAAGAGGUGUUUUAACACCUAAUACCCUAAAGUCAACUGACUUGGGAGCUAUUGGUCCAAAACUUGUUACAUGGGUUAAGGAGAAAAGCUUAAGAAAAUCAAACAUUGCAUUAUCUACGUAUUAGUAUCUGCAACUCAAGUUACUAAGCUCGUAGGGGUGUCUCAACACCUAAUGCUCUAAGACCAACUGGUCUAGGAGUCAUUAGCCGAAAGCUCGUUACAUGGGUUAAAGAUGCAUUGUAUUUUAAGUUAUAUGUAUAUAUAUUUAAAAGAAAAAAAAGAGAAAAAAAAAAGAAAAAAAAGAAGAUAAUAAUCUCAACCCAAGAAAGUUAACCUUAAACAUUAGAAUAGAAUAUUAUUUUCUUCCAAUAAAAGCCCCAUCAUCUAUGUUUUCAUACAUUGAGCAUAUAAAAAGGAAGAUUUAUUAAUAUUUUGUUUAAGAGAUAUUGAGCAAAUAUAUAAAUUUAAUGAGAGUUUGUUUAUCUGGAUAGAUUAAUGGAAGUUGAAUGAUGAAUGCCUUGCUUUGUGGAAUUUGCAAAUUGUUUUUCUAUUUUAACGCUUUGAUUACUAGGGACUAGUAAUAAGCUGGUUGGGGGGGUGUGAUUAGUACUUAAAAAUGCAUUUUUAUCAAGGUUUUAUAUCAUCAUUUUGCACUUGAAGUAUCUACAACUCAUUAACUAAAGCAUGUUUUAUAAUAACAAGUCUGAUACCAUAAGAUACCUUUAAUUUAUGGUAAAUGUUUAUCUUAAAUGCAGGCCUAUCACAUAAAUAAAAGGAUUGAUUGAUGAGUUUAAGUACAGAAAUUGAAAGGACAAAGAGAGGGCCAAACUUAGAAAAGAGAUGUUGGUUCAGUCCAAAUUGGAACACUGUUCGGUCAUCGGGUCAUAUCUGAAGCUGUAGAUCUUGGAUUUAGAUCUGCCUUAUAUGGAUGGAAAGCUAAGACAUAGGCCUAAAACUUUCAUAAGUCCAAGAUUUAAAAAGGCUGUUUUCAAGUCCAAAUUGUAGCAACAAUGGAGAAGUCUGAAUCUGUCCUGCAGCCCAGACACUGUUCAGUGUUCAGCCCAUAUCUCGAGUUUUAGAAGUCCAAAUGACCUCUAAUUUUUAGCUUGGAAAUCUGAGACAAUUUCCUAGAACUUUCAUGAUUUAAGUCUGUUCAAAUUAUGACGUUAUCAAUGACCUUUUUGGCAAACAAGAAGAUAAGGAUUGUCACCAAGUCAAGAUGUGGCCAUCCACUCAACAAUUAGUCAACAAAUCAAUAGUUCCGAAUUUUAGCCUAUAAAAGGAGGCAUUUGCCAAGUAUUUAGGCAUCUUGGUUUUUAGAUCAAGAUCAUGCUCUUGCUCUCUCUUUAUAUUUUGUAAUGCUUAAGUUUUGCUUAUAUUAAUCUCUUACUUAUGCUUUUCAUUUCAUUUCCUUGUUUAUUUAUGUUUCUCUCUUUCAUUAUGUUUAGCUAAGUUUAUCAUGUCAAGGUGAAAAGGUUACACUAAUGGUGUAAGAAUAAGUAUAAUAUAAACUCAACAUGGACCUUAAUAUGUGAUACUAACAUGUUUUAUAUUUGUUAUCUUGUUCACUUUUAAUACUUUGCUUGUUAAAUGGUUAAUCUAGAUUUAUUUUGUAUACCUUUGGUACAACAAAUACUUGGCACUUUUAUAGCCCAACCAUAUGGUAUAACCGACACCUGUGCUAUGAAAGGAAUUUGAUUUGUUGUUAACAUAAGUUAUAAUCAUGAAUGCCUGACAACAUUUACAAGUAUUAGCAUUAUUCAAAUAAGAUAACUAAUGUAAUCAUGUUAACAAUUUAUAAUCCGAUUGGAACCUCCUUUGUGUGUGGUUUCCAGUUGAGUAAUAAAAAGAGUUUAUACUAUACUUGUUUGAAAUACCAUUAGUGGAUCCUCUAACCUUGACAAUUAUUUUAUGCUUGUUUAAUCCUUAUAUCAAUAUCACAUCUCAAAGCUCUCUUUGUUAUUGUUGUUGUUGUUAUUGUUGUUGUUGUUGUUGUUUUUUAUAUACAAUUAACCUCCCUGUGGUUCGACCCCGGUCUUGCCGGGUUAUUUAUUGCUUCGACACUCCUGCACUUGGAAGAAGACAUCAAUUUUUUGGUCGUGUCAAUUAUAAAAUAUAAGGAUAGAGAAUAGACCUUUUAAACCUACCAGAACCGAAAAUGGUGUUACAAUUCCUAAGGCUAUGAGUGAGUAUAUGAUGGAAAUGGUGUUACAUUAUCCAUUGCAUGAAAAGUGUUAAAGACUCUUUAUGGUACUCACACACAAGAUCAUAUUCAACAAAUCAAUGGCGAGUUACAGUCCUUGAAUAAAUGUACUUAUUCUUUAAAAGAUUAUUUACACAAAGAAAAAUCUUUGGUUGUCUCUUUAUGGUGCAGGAAAACCAAUGGAUGACGAUGAGUUCAUCAUUUGCAUUUUUCAAGGAUUAGGAUCUGAAUUUGAUCUUAUAGUAGCAACAUUGAAUGCAAGAGAUAUUUUUCCAUCUUUUGAAGGAGUUAUUGGCAAACUCCGUGAAUUUGAAAUUCGACUUCAAGGAGCACGAGCAACUACUUCCAACAUUGGUUUUUAUACAAAUCGUGGCUGAAAAAACUCAAAGCCAUGGGUGAACCCCGGCACUCAAGGCUACAAUAAUCACAAUUUCACUAGAAGAAAUUCCACGGACAGUACUUCAUCAUCACGAGCUAAAAAGACUUGAUUCCCUCACUUUAAUAUAGGCUCAUCUAGAACUCGUCAGAAAUAAUUCUCACAUAAUGGUGGUCGUGGAUGGCAUCACUUGUUUUCAAUGUGGGGGGGCUUAAUCACAAAGCAGCCAGAUGUUUUGCUUCUGAUGAAGAUCAAUAAAAAGCUUUUGCUAAUAUCAAAAUUAGAGAAACUACAGAAGAGAUCUGGUAUUCUGUCACUGGUACAAACCAACUUAUGACCUCUAACACAAAUGAAGUUCAAGGUAUUAACUCUUAUCUUGGCAAUGAUUCUUUCAUGGUUGGUAAUGGUCAUGACUUGCCUAUCACUAGCACUUGACACAUUAUUUUUCUUACCACUAAUUUUAAGUUAAAUGAUGUUCAUGUGGUUCCUGCAAUUAAGAAGAAACUAUCAUAUGUCUCUCAAUUUAUAAGAGAAAUUAAUUGUUAUUUUUUGUUUUAUCCAUGGGGAUUUGUUUUCAAGGACAUGAAGAUGAAGUAGGUAGUCCUUAAGGGCUCCAUAAAGGAUGGUUGUAUCCGAUCAACCUGCAACAACUUUCAACAUCUUCAAUCAGUUUUUUAGCCAAUAAAGUAUCUAGCAACUUAUGGCAUGCAUGACUUGACCAUCCUCAAGCCCGGAUUCUUAUAAAGUUAUGUUUACCAUCUAUAAAUAAACAAAAUGCUUUCUAUGAAGGCUAUGUUUUGGGAAAAUCAACAAAGUUACCAUUUGAAUCUCGUAAAUCCUAUGCUACUUCUUUUCUGUAUACACUUCACACAGAUGUAUGAGGUCCUGCAUCUGUUUCUUCUUAUGAUGGCUAUUAGUUUUACUUAAUCAUUGUUGAUGAAUAUUCUUGAUGUAUAUGGUUCUUUCUUAUAAAUCAUAAAUCUGACGUAGCAACAAUAUUUUCUACAUUCCUCAAGCAAAUGGAAAAACAAUUUGAUGUUUAUGUUAAAAUAACUCAAAGUGAUGAGGGUGGUGAGUUUGUUAAUCAAAGCCUGCAUAAUCUUUUCAAAACUAAUGGUAUCAUUCAUAGAUUCUUAUGUCCAUAAACAUCAGAACAAAAUGAAUUGGCUGAACGUCGUCAAUGGCAUAUUGUGGAAUAUGGAUUAACAUUGUUAUCACAUGCUUCUAUUACGAUACAAUUCUGAAUAGCAGCCUUUUGUACUGUAAUAUUUCUAAUAAAUCGUCUACCUACUUCAGUUCUUGGUUACAACUCACCGCAUAAAGUUAUUUUCAGUUAUGCUUCUGCUUAUAAUUCCCUACAAGUUUUUGGGUGCUCCUGCUACCCAUUACUUGCACAAUUUGGUUGAUCAAAAUUGGACUUUAAAUCCACAUGGUGUGUGUUUCUUGGUUAUUCAAAUAAUCAUAAAGGAUAUCUUUGUCUUGAACCUUAGACAAGUCGCCUCUACAUAUCUCAUCAUGUGAAAUUUAAUGAAUCUCAGUUUCCCUACAGAUGCAUGCAGAAACGUGACACACAUGUUUCUCAGUUAUUUAAAGUCAGAGCACUUCCUCGACUACUCAAGACCAUGACUGAAAAAACAAAUGUCUCAACUCAAUAAAUAAUACAUCAUGUUUCAGCAAAAAAUGUCCAAAGUGUAUGAGUAUCUCAGUCUCCAAUUCCUGAACCAAUUCCUCCAUUCACUGCACUAGAAUUCAAUACUUUAGCACCAGAGGAUUCUCCCAUACUUGCUCCACAACAACAUCAUCAUAUGGUUACACGGGCUCAAAUAGGGAAGCUAAAACCCAAGGUAUUGUUCUCUUCAUAAUAUUCAAUACCUGCUUGUUUUGUUGCUGACCUUAUCACUCAACAACAAGACCUAGCGUACUUCAACAUCUGCAAUGGCAUCAAGCAAUGCAAGUUGAAAUGGAUGCUCUUCACACCAACAACACCUGAAAUUUGGUACCUAGAGAGCCAAACAUGAAUGUUAUCAGUAGUAAAUGGGUGUUCAAAAUCAAAACACGAUCUGAUACCUCUAUUGAAAGGUAUAAAGCUCAACUAGUGACUCGUGGAUUUACACAACAACCAAGCCUAGAUUAUGAUGAAACCUUUAGUCCAGUCAUCAAACCAAGUACUAUUUAGUUAAUCUUUACCAUUGGGCUAUCUCAAAGCUUGUCUAUCAGAUAACUAGAUGUUAGUAAUGCCUUUUUUCAUGGUGACCUACACGAAUAAGUAUAUUUGGCUCAACCCCAGGUUUUGAGGAUUUCUCCCAUCCAGAUCAUGUUUAUCAUCUCCAUAAAGCUUUGUAAGGUUUAAAGCAGCCCCUCGCGUCUAGUACCUAAAAUUCAGUACUUAUAUCCAGCAAAUGAGAUUCAUAUAAUGUCCCUAUGAUCAAUCUUUAUUCUCGCACUCAAGGAUCAGGCAUUCUUCUUUUACUUAUUUAUGUUAAUGACAUUCUUUUAAUAGGAAGUUCCUCUUCACAGAUUGACAAGUUUAUUACACACCUAUCUUUCAUCUUUCAUAUGAAAGAUCUUGGUGAUAUUCAUUACUUCUUAAGUCUUCAAAUCAUUUGCCAUGCAUCCACUGUCACUCAUACAAGGUAUUUACUGUCUCUUCUUCAAACGUUUGGUCUUGAUGGCACCAAACUUGUAAGCACUCCACUAGUAUGGGGGCCUUCUAUGUAUGCUGUUGAUGGUGCUCCCUUAGUUAAUCCUUUCCUUUAUCGCUGUUUGGUUGGCUCAUUAUAAUAUCUCACUCUAACCAGACUCGACAUCUCCUAUGUUGUUCAUCAAGUCUGUCAAUUCAUGCAAACACCCCAUGAUAUUCACCUCAUUGUUGUUAAGAGGAUUUUUCGGUAUCUGAAGGGUACUCUCAAUGUUGGUCUUCACUACGUCUGUACCCCUAUUCAUAAACUUCGUGGUUUUUGUGAUGUCGAUUGGGCUAGUUGCAGGGAUGAUAAACAUUUCAUUACUGGUUUUGCUAUCUUUUUAAGCGAUAAUUUGAUAUCUUAAAGCGCUAAGAAACAAGCUAUUGUGUCUCGAUCGACAACUGAAGCUAAAUACUGUGUCUUAACCUUAACUACAAGUGAGCUUAUUUGGUUUGUGCAUUUACUAAAGAAUAUUGGCUAUUGUGUCCCUCCUUCUACGUUGUAUAGUGACAAUAUUAGUGCCAUUCAUAUGGCCAAGAAUCCAAUGUUCCAUCACCGUAUAAAACACAUCAAAAUUGAUGUUCACUUUGUUCAUGAAUGGGUUGCGUGUGGUGUUCUCUCUUUGGUAUACAUUCCAGGAUCGGAUCAAAUUGCAGAUAUUUUUACCAAAUCCCUUUAUGCUAUAAAAUUUAUUCCAAAUCAUGGCAAGCUCUGUCUCAGUCCAGUCCCGCCUUGAGCUUGAGGGGGGAUGAUGAGAUAUAGAGAUAUGCAGAUGCUGAGAUCCUGCUGAGAUCUCUUUACUGAGAGAUCCUCUACUGGGAUCUCUAUGUCAGGAUCCUCCCUAUUUAUUCACUUCAUGGUCUCCACAAUAUUUGUAAUUCAAUAUGUUUCUAUAAUCUCUGUAGACAAAUUAUAUAUAUAUAUAUAUAUAUAGCAAGAAUCAAUCCUACAUAAAUGUCCAGUAAUGCCUAUUUAUAGGUAAUAACAAUACAUAGAAAUAUAAGUUCACCAUUUCCUAUAAGCAUCAUCUUUUUAUUUUUCAAUAAUAAUGUGCUAUAAAUAAUUGGUAGGUUGAGAGACCUUUUGAGAAGGAGCCCUUAUAGAUUAUGAUGCUAAAAAAUAAGAAACUAUAUUAGAAGACAAGUUAUCCAAUAAGGUAUAAUGAAUAACUAAAGUAUAAAGAUUUCUCACCAAAAGUUUGUUUUGCUCAAUUUUCUAGCUGAUCUACUAGCUAAAUUUUUAGUAAGCCUUCUCUUACCAUCUUUUGUAAAAGGUUCUUCAUCAUAUAAAAGUUUCUUAGCCAUCUUUUUUAAAGAAAGGUUUAAGAUGACAUAUUAUAGCUUUCUUGUACAAUAGAAAAAACCUUAAUUAAUUUCCUAAUAUUAGCAUAAAGUCUCUCACACUAUAGAAUCCAAAAUUAUGUUUUGUUAACUAUGUUACAUUUUUCACUUCCUUUAGCAUUUUGAAAAUUAUUAUCUAGAUUAGAACUAUUAAUGGUAUAUUACAUUAGAAAUGGAACACAUUAUACAAACUUCGAUUGUCUUGCCACGAAAUAGAGGUUAUAGGGCUCAUAAGAACAAUAGUUUCCUUUAUAAUAAAUCUAUCACUAAACUAAAUUGUAGAUCCUUUUAGGUUAGAAUAAUUUUUCACACUACAAUGUUCUCCUCUCCCUUACAAUUUAUACUUUGAUGUUUAAGAAUCAAUAGUCAUCUAGGGCAUGUUCUCAUAGACAUUAAAAUGAUCAUGGAUCGGUUAUUCCUCCUUGUCAUGGAUAGAAAAAUAUCUAGGUAUCUCUUGAAAGGAAAGUUGUGGAAAUGGAUCAUUUUGUCCUCUACAAAUUAAUAGGGAGUCCAAAUUUGACUACACGACACUAGAUUCAUGGAAAUUUAUAGUUUCCCAUGCUUAAAUCCACCAUAAAAUUCAAUAAAAGUUUCCUUUUAUCAUGAAAGGGUGGUUGGUCUUCACCUCUCACUUGGCAUUCCUCUAAUACCAUAUAUAUAUGUGUGUGUGUGUGUGUGUGUGUGUGUGUGUGUGUGUGUGUGAUUUAACAUAAAAGGUCUUAGGAUAAUUUACAUUAUCAAAAAAUAGUAAUAAAUAACCCGACAAGACUAAGGUUGAAUCACAGGGAGGUGAACUAUAUAAAAUUAUAAACAACAAAUGAAAAGGAGUUGAAGAGAACUUUUGAAAUGUGAUAUUGAUGUGAGUAUUAAUCAAAGAUAAAAGCAAUUGUCAAGGUUAGAGGAUCAACUAAUAGUAUUAGAAAUAAGUAUAGUAUAAACUUUUUUUAUUAAUCAACUGGAAACCACACACAAAGAAGGUUCAAAUCAGAUGAUUUAUCCUUAAUAGUUCAUUAUAAAUUUUUAACAUGAUCAUAUUGAUUAUCUUAUUUUAGUAACACCAUACUUUUAAAUAUUGUCAGGAAUUCAUGAUGUUAACUUAUGUUAACAACAAAUCAAGUUCCUUUCAUAGCACAGGUGUCGAUUAUACCAUAUAGUAGGCUAUGAAAGUGUCAAGUAUUUGUUGUACCAAGGGUUGUACAAUACAAAUCUAGAUUAAUUAUUUAACAAGUAAGGUAUUAAGAAUUAGUAAGAUAAAAAGAUAAGACAUGUUAAUAACAAACUUUCUUGGAUAUAAACAUUGAAGUCCAUGUUGAGUUUAUAUUAUAUCUAUUCUAACACCAUUAGUGAAAUCUUUUCACCUUGACAUAAUAAACUUAGCUAAACAUUGUGAAGAAGAGAAAACAUAAAUAAACUAGAUAAGAACAUAGUUAUGAUGAAAAGUAUAAACAAGAGAUUAUUAAAAGCAAAACUUAAACAUUACAAAAAUACAAAGAAAGAAAGCAAGAAGAUGAUCUUGAUCUGAAAACCAAGAGGCCUAAAUGCAUGAAAAAUGCCUCCUUUUAUAGGCCAAAAUUCAAAACUAUUGAUUUGAUGACUAAUUGUUGAGUGGGUGGCCACCUCUUCACUUGGUAACAAUCCUUAUCUUCUUGUCUGCAGAAAACGUCAUUGCUAACAUCAUAAUUUGAACAAAUAGUCUCAUGAAAGUUCUCGAAAAUUGUCUCAGCUUUCCAACAAAACAAGAAUGAGGUCAUGUGGACUUCUAGAACUCGAGAUAUGGGCUGAACACUGAACAAUGUCUGGGCUGCAGGAUAGAUUCUGACUUCUCUGUUGUUGCUAUAAUUUGAACUUGAAAAUGGUCCUUUUGAAUCUUGGACUCUCAUGAAAGUUUUAGGCCUAUGUCUUAGCUUUAUAUCCAUAUAAACCAGACCUAAAUCCAAGUUCUACAACUCUAGUUAUGAUCCAAUAACCGAAUGGUGUUUCAAUUUGAAUUCAACCAACAUCUCUUUUCUAAGCUUAGCCCUCUCUUUGUCUUCUUAAUUUCAGUAGUUAAACUCAUCAAUCAAUCCUUUGAUUUAUGUGAUAGGUCUGCAUUUAAAAUGAAUAUUUACCAUAAAUUAAAUGUAUCUUAUAUUAUCAGACUUGUUAUUAUAAAACAUGCUCUAGUUAAGGAGUUAUUGAUACUUCAAAUGCAAAAUGAUGAUAUAAAACCUUGAUAAAAAUACACUUUUAAGUACUAAUCAACAAUGGUCCUACCAUUAUCCAAGGUCACAACUAUAUUUAACUAGGCCUUAUUUAAUUUAUAAGACCUGGAAAAAAUUAAAUAUCUAUAUACCCAAAAGAGAAAGGAAAAAAAAAAGCCACAUGUUCUAUCUAGAAGGAAAAUUUGGUUCCUUUCUUCUCCUUUUUAAAAAUAACACUAUAUUUAGGAGUACUUACCAAUAAGUCUUCAAAUUGACCUAUAAUAAAUUAUAUGGAUGCACAAAGCUAACCUUUUGAGUAUAGGCUCCUAUCAAAGCCAAAUCAUAUAGAAAUAUAUAUAAUUUGCAUCCUAUACCUAAAUACAAAGAUGUUAUUUGAUUUGACUAAAAAAUGAUAAAGUUGUCACAUUUCCUUGCUAGGCUUAGUGGUAAUCCUAUAUAGUUGGAUUACGUCAAAGAUCUAUUAGCAUUUUCAUUCUUCAUCAAAGUGUGGUUUUAUUCUCUCUAUAUAUUGAGGUUCACUUGAUUUUUCUAGAGUGAAAGCCUUUCUCUAUAUAUCUAAGGCAAACAAGUUAUAUCUUUUUUAUAGAAUUUCUUCUUAAUAUUGUCCAAAGACAUUCUUGAAUCAAUAUUUUUAGGGAAAUGCUGAUUAUAGAUCAGUGUAAAUUAGUGAUACAAUCUAUGUAAUGCUAGAAGUGGGUGAUAAGAGAAGGGUUUUAUUUUGCAGAGCUUGAAGAUGUCAUUUAUGUGUUUAAAGAGAGAAGUAAGGUUAAGGUUUAUCCUCUUUUUUAGAAAUCUUUGGUUUCUUCAGAUAAGGAUUGGGAGCUUUUUAAAUAAAAUGAAAGGAUAGGAUGUUAAUUGAUUGAAUUGAUAAAUUAACUAUAAAUCAAAAUUAUAGUUAUUGUAACGGUAAUAUCAUGCCAAAAAGCUAGAAAACAUUUUAUUUUGAAAUUUCUUAAAUGUCUAACAUGUUAGACAAUGAAAUAUGGUGGAUAUUUUGGAAAAACAAUUCUUGAUUUUCCAUGUCAUUCAUGGUUAAUUUUAUGAUUGAUUGAAAUAUAAAAGGUAAAUCAAUAUUCUUUCAUUUAUAUUAAAUAAAGAAAUAUGGAUGCAUUAUUUAUGUCAAAGUUAAACCAUUCAUGUAUCAUGUGAUUAAGAACAAUAUAAUUUAUUGUUAGUUUUUAAGAAAAAUAACGAAGAAAAAUAAAAUUAAAUAUCAACCAAUAAAGAAGGUUAAGUUCGAAAAUCAUCUAAGAGAUUAAGUUUCACAUUAAGUGAUUGAUUAAUCCUAUAUAAAAAAGAACUUAACUUAUGGAUAUUAUAAAUUGAUAUAAGCAUAUGUUAUUAUAAAGAUGUCUGCCAGAAAAAUAGUAAAUAAGUGCAAGUUAUGCUAGGAUUAAUAUUGUACAAUCUUUAUAUGUUAUAAAUUGUUUGUUUAAGAUUAAGAUUUUAUAUUUAUGUGAGAUUUUAUCUCAAUAAAAAUAUAAAUAUAUCAUUUAAUAGCUUAAAAUAAUGGUUAGUGUUAUAUACAUAAUUUAUUAUGCAAUUUACUCAUAAUUUUAUGCUAUUUAUUGCUUUCUUUUAUGUAUGACAAUAUAUUUCUUUUCCUUAUACAUUUUACUAGUCAUAUUACACGUGCUUGAAUUCAGGUCGAAUCAAAAGUUAAUUUUUAACAUAAAUGAAUGUUCAAGCGUUUUAAGUGUGUUUUUUAGAAUAUACAAAUAGAAAAGACCAUAAACCAAAAGAAAAUGACCACACAUGCAAAGUUGCAAAUAUAAUCCACGGUGAACUAGAAGGAGGUGAGCAGUGGAGCACGUUAUAGUGAAAUCAUCGGAUCUUUUAGUAUUUCCUGCAAUUAUAAUUUACGAAUUCAAGAUAUAGUGAAAUCAAAGCUUGUUUUUCUUUUUCUUUUUUUUCUUAACAUAUUGAAGUCAAGUUACGAAUUCUUUGAUCAAGAUUAAGUGUCUAAUUAUAAUUUUUCGUUGUUGGAUAAUCAAUGAUCACUUUAUUUAUUAGAUCAACAAAUGAAAAUAAUUAAAUAAGGCAUUUAAAUGAGAAAAAAUGGAUUGACAUUACUCUUUAUUUAUUAAAUCAUAUACUUUACCAUCAAAGAAUAAUAAUAUCUUACAACCAUGAAACAGGCAGUCAAUUCACCAUUACAUCUUACGUGUCCUCUAAGGAAUUUGUUUUUUUCACAAUACGUAGGGAAUUAAGGAAGAAAAUGCCUACAAUGCUACAUCAAAAAGAAAGCUUCACAGCCGUCCAAUAAAUAAACACAAAUGAGAGGGGAAAGAACACAAAAGAUUAGCUUUGAACAGUCGUUCAACAAAAAGCUCCAAGGUGCUUCAUCUUUGACCAAAGAGAUUGGAAAUGACAGCACAUAAUGAUCUUGAAUAGAGUGAUCAUGUUAAAGUUUUAAAGCAGCAGAAGAAUGGUGAUGAGCAUAGCCAAAUUGGGCAGGAAGAUGCACGCACCAAUCUUGGGCAGCCCAUUUGGAGCUCCUGGUGGUACUGCUGUAGCUCCACCACCUGGAACUGGGGGGGGACUUGCUGUAUGAGAGGGCAAGGGUCCCUCCACAACAUCAGGUGCAGUUAACACUGGGUUUGGAGGCUCAGCUGGGGGCAAGGCAAAAGGUGAGAUUAGCUGCAUGAGACCGCCAGGCUGAGCAGGGCUCAUGUAAGAAGGUAAUUCCUUGCCCAAGCAUCGGUUCCCUGCAAUAAAAUGGAGCAAUGUGUUACUAAAUGGCAAACAGAUAUCACUACAUGUCUGGUGGAUAUAUUUAUUAUGGAAUUUCCAUAAAAUCUGAAAUGAGACUAACACAAAUAAUGGCAGUUAAAUAUACUCUCAAGUCAUAUUGUAUGAUCCUAACCUGAUUUCUACAUCUAACAUGUAAUAUGCGAAUCUAUUUUUCUCAGCCUAGUACAGCAUGAAAUUAAACUGACAUUUUCAUGAGAACAAGAUCAUCUAAGGAAUAAUUUGUCCAGAACAUACAACAUCGUCCAGGAUUCACUCUGUAUUGUUGCAUGUAAACUAGAAACAUCAGUGACUUACUCUU
This 36949-nucleotide long non-coding RNA is filed under the name Populus trichocarpa (black cottonwood). Its description in RNAcentral is "long non-coding RNA (PTRI_LNC000354)". The stretch from base 33455 to 33609 matches the Rfam family "MIR2912 microRNA precursor family". The record is from RNAcentral. Lineage: Eukaryota; Viridiplantae; Streptophyta; Magnoliopsida; Malpighiales; Salicaceae.